RNAcentral lists this ribosomal RNA (429 nucleotides) under Pseudomonadota bacterium. Its description in RNAcentral is "Proteobacteria bacterium partial 16S ribosomal RNA". It matches the Rfam family "Bacterial small subunit ribosomal RNA", at positions 355 to 776 of the family's 1533-position model. Lineage: Bacteria; Pseudomonadati; Pseudomonadota. The record is from RNAcentral.
UGGGGAAUAUUGGACAAUGGGCGAAAGCCUGAUCCAGCCAUGCCGCGUGUGUGAAGAAGGUCUUCGGAUUGUAAAGCACUUUAAGUUGGGAGGAAGGGCAGUAAGCGAAUACCUUGCUGUUUUGACGUUACCGACAGAAUAAGCACCGUCUAACUCUGUGCCAGCAGCCGCGGUAAUACAGAGGGUGCAAGCGUUAAUCGGAAUUACUGGGCGUAAAGCGCGCGUAGGUGGUUCGUUAAGUUGAAUGUGAAAGCCCCGGGCUCAACCUGGGAACUGCAUCCAAAACUGGCGGGCUAGAGUAGGGCAGAGGGUGGUGGAAUUUCCUGUGUAGCGGUGAAAUGCGUAGAUAUAGGAAGGAACACCAGUGGCGAAGGCGACCACCUGGGCUCAUACUGACACUGAGGUGCGAAAGCGUGGGGAGCAAACAGG